RNAcentral lists this long non-coding RNA (1027 nucleotides) under Gossypium barbadense (sea-island cotton). RNAcentral's name for it is "long non-coding RNA (GBAR_LNC004812)". Lineage: Eukaryota; Viridiplantae; Streptophyta; Magnoliopsida; Malvales; Malvaceae. The record is from RNAcentral.
UUCUAUCCGUUUCUUUCUUCUACGAGCUAAAUCAUUACUAGACCAUCUGAAAGUCUUCCCAAAAAGUAGCUGUAUAUGGAUAACUAAUACCAAUACCUUGAGUUUGUCUCAUUGUGACAACUGACGAACCAAUAAAUGCCAUCCAUGCAGGGUCUGAGGCGAUGUUUGCUGAUCUUGGUCACUUCUCUUAUUCUGCAAUUCAGGUAACUGACAUGAAUCCUCUUCCAUGUUUUGAUUUGAUACUAAUGUGUUAUCCUAUUCAUGUGAGUUCAAAACUAGCUGCUAAAGUGAAAUUUAACGUUGUCUUGCUACAGACUGCUUUUACCUUUCUGGUUUAUCCAGCUCUUAUAUUGGCAUACAUGGGCCAAGCUGCUUACUUGUCUCAACAUCAUCAUACGAGUUACCAAAUCAGCUUCUAUGUCUCAGUUCCAGGUAUACCUCAUCUGUUCUGAAUGCAAUAAAAAAUGGUAGGAAGCUGACCGAUGAAAAUAGAGAUCUGUAAAAGAGAAAAGUGCAAAUGACAAACUGUGUCAUGUAUCUAUCCAACCUAAAAGGGAAUGCAAUUUCACACUGUAGGCUACAGUACAUGUCUAAGUUCAUGGUUACAGACCAAUAAACUUGAUUGCUUAAUUGUUUUUAUGUACUGUACAGAAAGUGUGAGAUGGCCUGUGCUCAUAAUAGCAAUUCUUGCUUCUGUCGUGGGAAGCCAAGCAAUCAUUAGUGGAACAUUCUCCAUAAUCAAUCAGAGCCAGUCACUUAGUUGUUUCCCUAGAGUGAAGGUCAUUCACACCUCUGACAAGAUACAUGGCCAGAUUUAUAUCCCUGAAAUCAAUUGGGUGCUCAUGAUCCUCUGCAUUGCUGUGACUAUUGGCUUUAGAGACACAAAACACAUGGGGAAUGCAUCAGGUAAGGUUAAACUUCAUGUGCAGCCUAUAAAAGCAUUCCAAUAUAUUAUUAAAAUAGUUUCCUUCUUCUUAUUCUUUGGAAAUGGUUGUAAGGAAGACCUUUCUGCUUUGGGGUAACAGCG